CACCUACGGGGGGCAGCAGUGAGGAAUAUUGGUCAAUGGGCGCGAGCCUGAACCAGCCAAGUAGCGUGAAGGAUGACUGCCCUACGGGUUGUAAACUUCUUUUAUAAAGGAAUAAAGUGAGGCACGUGUGCCUUUUUGUAUGUACUUUAUGAAUAAGGAUCGGCUAACUCCGUGCCAGCAGCCGCGGUAAUACGGAGGAUCCGAGCGUUAUCCGGAUUUAUUGGGUUUAAAGGGUGCGUAGGCGGGCUGUUAAGUCAGCGGUCAAAUGUCGGGGCUCAACCCCGGCCUGCCGUUGAAACUGGCGG
This 305-nucleotide ribosomal RNA is filed under the name uncultured bacterium. RNAcentral describes it as "bacterial SSU rRNA". It matches the Rfam family "Bacterial small subunit ribosomal RNA", at positions 335 to 639 of the family's 1533-position model. The record is from RNAcentral.